UUUCAAUUUGGCAGAAAAAAUGCAGAAAAUUUAGAAUUUUCUUAUGAUGUAUAUAAUCAAUUGAAAA
This 67-nucleotide transfer RNA is filed under the name Amblyomma geoemydae. RNAcentral describes it as "tRNA-Leu". Lineage: Eukaryota; Metazoa; Arthropoda; Arachnida; Ixodida; Ixodidae. The record is from RNAcentral.